This 497-nucleotide ribosomal RNA is filed under the name uncultured bacterium. RNAcentral's name for it is "partial 16S ribosomal RNA". It matches the Rfam family "Bacterial small subunit ribosomal RNA", at positions 28 to 507 of the family's 1533-position model. The record is from RNAcentral.
GAUGAACGCUGGCGGCGUGCCUAAUACAUGCAAGUCGAGCGAACGGACGAGAAGCUUGCUUCUCUGAUGUUAGCGGCGGACGGGAGAGUAACAUGUGUAUAACCUACCUAUAUGACUGGGAUAACUUCGGGAAACCGGAGCUUAUACCGGAUGAUAUUUUGAACCGCAUGGUUCAAAAGUGAAAGACGGUCUUGCUGUCUCUUAUAGAUGGAUCCGGGCUGCAUUAGCUAGUUGGUAAGGUAAAGGCUUAUCACGGCAACGAUGCAUAGCCGACCUGAGAGACGGAUCGGCCACACUGGAGCUGAGACACGGUCCAGACGCCUACGGGAGGCAGCAGUAGGGAAUGUUCCGCAAUGGGCGAAAGCCUGACGGAACAGCGGCGCGUGAGUGAUGAAGGUCUUCGGAGCGUAAAGCUCUGUUAUUAGGGAAGAACAUAUGUGUAAGUAACUGUGCACAUAUUGACGGUACCUAGUAAGAAAGCCACGGCUAACUACGUG